ACUGCCAACCUGGAUGUGACAUUGCCACCGUGGAGGGGACACCGGGGAUGGGACCCUGGAUGUGACACUGCCACCAAGAAGGGGACACUGCCACCAUGGAGGUGACACUGCCACCAUGGAGGUGACACUGCCACCAGGGCUGGCACCCUGGAGGUGACAAGGGACGGUGUGGCCACACUGCCAUGUCCUGCUGUGACACCAGGGUGACACAGAGCUCGUCCCCUGUCCCCUCUCUGUCCCCAAGGCUCAGGGCAGGACUGGUGGGGACACAUCACGGUGUACCCUCGGUGUCACAGCAGGAAGGGGACACUGGGGGACAUCCCUGUGGUGUCACAGCACAAUGGAGGAUGUCCCCAUGGUGUCCCCAAGGCGGUGUCACAGCAGAAAGGGGACACUGGGGGCUGUCCCCUCAAUGUCACAGCAGGAAGGGGACACUGAGGGACAUCCUGGCGGUGUCACAGCAGGAAAGGCACAAUGGGCGAUGUCCCCUGGAUGUCCCCUGGGUGUCACAGCAGGAAGGGGACACUGGG
This 530-nucleotide long non-coding RNA is filed under the name Zonotrichia albicollis (white-throated sparrow). RNAcentral describes it as "lncRNA (ENSZALG00000003174.1)". Lineage: Eukaryota; Metazoa; Chordata; Aves; Passeriformes; Passerellidae. The record is from RNAcentral.